Molecule: ribosomal RNA, 433 nt
Filed under: uncultured bacterium
Lineage: Bacteria
Description: partial 16S ribosomal RNA
Rfam family: Bacterial small subunit ribosomal RNA
Source: RNAcentral
AGCGAACGCUGGCGGCAGGCCUAACACAUGCAAGUCGAACGAACUCUUCGGAGUUAGUGGCGGACGGGCGAGUAACACGUGGGAACGUGCCUUUUGGUUCGGAAUAACUCAGGGAAACUUGUGCUAAUACCGAAUGUGCCCUUCGGGGGAAAGAUUUAUCGCCAUUAGAGCGGCCCGCGUCUGAUUAGCUAGUUGGUGAGGUAACGGCUCACCAAGGCGACGAUCAGUAGCUGGUCUGAGAGGAUGACCAGCCACACUGGGACUGAGACACGGCCCAGACUCCUACGGGAGGCGGCAGUGGGGAAUCUUGCGCAAUGGGCGAAAGCCUGACGCAGCCAUGCCGCGUGAAUGAUGAAGGUCUUAGGAUUGUAAAAUUCUUUCACCGGGGACGAUAAUGACGGUACCCGGAGAAGAAGCCCCGGCUAACUCCGUG